RNAcentral lists this ribosomal RNA (460 nucleotides) under uncultured bacterium. RNAcentral's name for it is "partial 16S ribosomal RNA". It matches the Rfam family "Bacterial small subunit ribosomal RNA", at positions 338 to 795 of the family's 1533-position model. The record is from RNAcentral.
CCUACGGGCGUCAGCAGUGAGGAAUAUUGGUCAAUGGACGAGAGUCUGAACCAGCCAAGUAGCGUGAAGGAUGACUGCCCUAUGGUUUGUACACUUCUUUUAUAUGGGAAUAAAAUGUUCCACGUGUGGGAUUUUGUAUGUACCAUAUGAAUAAGGAUCGGCUAACUCCGUGCCAGCAGCCGCGGUAAUACGGAGGAUCCGAGCGUUAUCCGGAUUUAUUGGGUUUAAAGGGACCGUAGGUGGAUUGUUAAGUCAGUUGUGAAAGUUUGCGGCACAACCGUAAAAUUGCAGUUGAAACUGGCAGGCUUGAGUACAGUAGAGGUGGGCGGAAGUCGUGGUGUAGCGGUGAAAUGCUUAGAUAUCACGAAGAACUCAGAUUGCGAAGGCAGCUCACUGGACUGCAACUGACACUGAGGCUCGAAAGUGUGGGUAUCAAACAGGAUUAGAGACCCGUGUAGUC